RNAcentral lists this ribosomal RNA (1887 nucleotides) under Escherichia coli. RNAcentral's name for it is "partial 23S ribosomal RNA". It matches the Rfam family "Bacterial large subunit ribosomal RNA", at positions 928 to 2797 of the family's 2925-position model. Lineage: Bacteria; Pseudomonadati; Pseudomonadota; Gammaproteobacteria; Enterobacterales; Enterobacteriaceae. The record is from RNAcentral.
AUCCCGACUUACCAACCCGAUGCAAACUGCGAAUACCGGAGAAUGUUAUCACGGGAGACACACGGCGGGUGCUAACGUCCGUCGUGAAGAGGGAAACAACCCAGACCGCCAGCUAAGGUCCCAAAGUCAUGGUUAAGUGGGAAACGAUGUGGGAAGGCUCAGACAGCCAGGAUGUUGGCUUAGAAGCAGCCAUCAUUUAAAGAAAGCGUAAUAGCUCACUGGUCGAGUCGGCCUGCGCGGAAGAUGUAACGGGGCUAAACCAUGCACCGAAGCUGCGGCAGCGACACUAUGUGUUGUUGGGUAGGGGAGCGUUCUGUAAGCCUGUGAAGGUGUGCUGUGAGGCAUGCUGGAGGUAUCAGAAGUGCGAAUGCUGACAUAAGUAACGAUAAAGCGGGUGAAAAGCCCGCUCGCCGGAAGACCAAGGGUUCCUGUCCAACGUUAAUCGGGGCAGGGUGAGUCGACCCCUAAGGCGAGGCCGAAAGGCGUAGUCGAUGGGAAACAGGUUAAUAUUCCUGUACUUGGUGUUACUGCGAAGGGGGGACGGAGAAGGCUAUGUUGGCCGGGCGACGGUUGUCCCGGUUUAAGCGUGUAGGCUGGUUUUCCAGGCAAAUCCGGAAAACCAAGGCUGAGGCGUGAUGACGAGGCACUACGGUGCUGAAGUGACAAAUGCCCUGCUUCCAGGAAAAGCCUCUAAGCAUCAGGUAACAUCAAAUCGUACCCCAAACCGACACAGGUGGUCAGGUAGAGAAUACCAAGGCGCUUGAGAGAACUCGGGUGAAGGAACUAGGCAAAAUGGUGCCGUAACUUCGGGAGAAGGCACGCUGAUAUGUAGGUGAAGCGACUUGCUCGUGGAGCUGAAAUCAGUCGAAGAUACCAGCUGGCUGCAACUGUUUAUUAAAAACACAGCACUGUGCAAACACGAAAGUGGACGUAUACGGUGUGACGCCUGCCCGGUGCCGGAAGGUUAAUUGAUGGGGUUAGCGGCAACGCGAAGCUCUUGAUCGAAGCCCCGGUAAACGGCGGCCGUAACUAUAACGGUCCUAAGGUAGCGAAAUUCCUUGUCGGGUAAGUUCCGACCUGCACGAAUGGCGUAAUGAUGGCCAGGCUGUCUCCACCCGAGACUCAGUGAAAUUGAACUCGCUGUGAAGAUGCAGUGUACCCGCGGCAAGACGGAAAGACCCCGUGAACCUUUACUAUAGCUUGACACUGAACAUUGAGCCUUGAUGUGUAGGAUAGGUGGGAGGCUUUGAAGUGUGGACGCCAGUCUGCAUGGAGCCGACCUUGAAAUACCACCCUUUAAUGUUUGAUGUUCUAACGUUGGCCCCUGAUCGGGGUUGCGGACAGUGUCUGGUGGGUAGUUUGACUGGGGCGGUCUCCUCCUAAAGAGUAACGGAGGAGCACGAAGGUUGGCUAAUCCUGGUCGGACAUCAGGAGGUUAGUGCAAUGGCAUAAGCCAGCUUGACUGCGAGCGUGACGGCGCGAGCAGGUGCGAAAGCAGGUCAUAGUGAUCCGGUGGUUCUGAAUGGAAGGGCCAUCGCUCAACGGAUAAAAGGUACUCCGGGGAUAACAGGCUGAUACCGCCCAAGAGUUCAUAUCGACGGCGGUGUUUGGCACCUCGAUGUCGGCUCAUCACAUCCUGGGGCUGAAGUAGGUCCCAAGGGUAUGGCUGUUCGCCAUUUAAAGUGGUACGCGAGCUGGGUUUAGAACGUCGUGAGACAGUUCGGUCCCUAUCUGCCGUGGGCGCUGGAGAACUGAGGGGGGCUGCUCCUAGUACGAGAGGACCGGAGUGGACGCAUCACUGGUGUUCGGGUUGUCAUGCCAAUGGCACUGCCCGGUAGCUAAAUGCGGAAGAGAUAAGUGCUGAAAGCAUCUAAGCACGAAACUUGC